UGCAUGGAUGAGAGGGGCCAGCCCUGCUCCUGGACCCAAAUUCCUAAGGGCAGAGCAAGGAGAAGGGCCUCGUUUCCCAGCUGAGGCCUGGGAGCAAUUUUGGCCGAGGAAUGUCUUUCAUCUGGAGCACAUUAGCCAUGGGUGGUGCUGCUGGGGAGCAGCAGCUCUACUUAAGGCAGCCUCUGCCAGCUGCCUCUGGGCUAUCAGUGGUGGCUCUGCCAAGCUGGGGUCUUGGGUGCUCUCCUGUGGGCUGAGGCUCCCCAGGAGAUCUGUUCCUGUGCUGGGAAAGCCUUCCUGACUGUCUGACAAAUGUCUCAAACAUGAAGAAACAAGGAUAUAAUAAGGCUUGUAUGCUGAAUUCCAAACAUUCUUGUGCUUUGCCUUCUGCCAUCGAUAUAAUGGUUAUAACCAAGUAUUUUGACUAUGAGAUCGGUUUGAAUCUGUAGUUUGAUACAUCUGUAAUGACAGAAUCAACCCUAAGCGAGCAGACUGAAAGCUGCCACUGUCCUUUGACCUGUGUGAGUGAAGCUGAAGAGUGUGACUUAUGAGGAAACAGCAAAACAAACAGUCUGUGAUGAAUGCUUGCCUCAGUGGUUCAGUGGGGAGCCCUCCUGUUAUACCACUGCUCUGGGUGAUGUAGCUUGCCUGUACAACAGAGUCUAGUAUGAUCCUCUUUGCAUGUCCCCAGCUCUGGUCUGGUUCAGGUUUGUUCCUCAUUGUGGUCUCCAGUGUUCAUCUCUGACUGGUCUGGGCACUAAUGCACUUUGUGACCUAAAUCCUUCUGAACAUCUCUUUAUACCAGAAGAGGCAACCAUAAUUCCCCUGAAGCUGCAGCACAGUCAGAACCCAGAAUGUACCUCUAAAGUACCGUUAACUUUUACUGUAUCCUGACUUCAGCCUCUGCUUCAAAUCUGGGCCAGGUGGUUUGGUAUUUUUCACGGAGGUCUUAGAAUUAAUCUUACUGCUUGCUGUGUGCAGCUGUAAGUGGUGAGAUGUAUUGACUGUAACCAUAUAGAUUAAAAGGAAAGGUCUCAGUUUUUGCCUACAAAUACAAUCUGCUGCCUAGUUAGCCAGGUUAGAAAAAGAUUUCAUGAGCCUGGACAGGAGGUCUAGAGUUUAAUUUGUCUCUCUCCUGCUGCUGUUAGGGAGGAUCAGGCUUAACAGACCAUUGCACAGAUCUGUUUGGCACUUUGGACUUUCUGUGUCUCCCUAGGGACUGACCUUGGUCCUCAUCUGAGAAACUGUCUUGAGGGUCUCUUAUAAUAAGCAUUGAGUUUGAUCAGCUAGUAGCUAUAAAGAAAGCCCAGGUCCAGGGAAAUCAGAAGUCUGCUAGCCAGGAAAUAUCCCUGGAUGGGAAGGAAAUUUCCAGAGUGUAAUUUGAGAUCCUCAGUUCCUAUUAAUGGACCUUAUUCCCUGUUUUGUAGAACUGUAAACUUGAAGAUAAUCUGAAAUAUAAAAGCGACAGAGAAUUUAGUCAUAGUAGCUUAAAUUCUUUUCUUUUGAACCACGUGAAAUGUCAGGACAGGAAAGCUCUCCCAAGGGUUAAUACCAUCCAAAACUCUAGCUGCCUCUGAAUUAACAAAGUCCCCAAGUGGACUGAUACCACAGGAUGCAGAUGUUCUGGCAACUACCAUCAAUCUGCAAGCCAAGUUUAUGCUAAAAUUUUCUUCUUUUUCUUUUUUUUUAAUAGGCUUGGCUUUAAAAAAAAAAAAACCAACAAACUCAAACCUAAAUGCUCACCCAGACUAUAAGCCUUGUUUAGAAAUGUGAAUGGGUGUAUGUUCUCCUGCUGGCUUGGUAAUUUGGUAGAUGUUAACACAAUGUAAAUACAGCACAAUACAGUUUGGCAUGGUGUUUAUAAGGACAUAUGGGAACUAUCAUUUUUAUGCAACCUAGUACUGGGUUUAGUGCUUCUGAAGGGCUUCUGCUUCGCCUGUGUGUGAGCUUGACUGUAGUGGGAAUGAAUUAUGAAGAGCGGUGAAAUGUGCACGUCUUGUAAACAUGGUCAUGUU
Long non-coding RNA from Hirundo rustica (Barn swallow), 2012 nucleotides. RefSeq lists it as uncharacterized. NCBI's taxonomy places the organism in Eukaryota, Metazoa, Chordata, Aves, Passeriformes, Hirundinidae. The record is from RefSeq and is a predicted model, not a curated record. The transcript has 3 exons.